CAGGGUUUGACAUCCUGAGACCGCCUCUUAAUAGGGGUUUUCCCGCAAGGGACUCAGAGACAGGUGCUGCAUGGCUGUCGUCAGCUCGUGUCGUGAGAUGUUGGGUUAAGUCCCGCAACGAGCGCAACCCUCGCCUUUAGUUGCCAUCAUUCAGUUGGGCACUCUAGAGGGACCGCCGGCGACAAGCCGGAGGAAGGUGGGGAUGACGUCAAGUCCUCAUGGCCCUUACACCCUGGGCUACACACGUGCUACAAUGGCGGUGACAGUGGGCAGCUACUUCGCGAGAAGCGGCUAAUCCCAAAAAACCGUCCCAGUUCAGAUUGUACUCUGCAACUCGAGUACAUGAAGGUGGAAUCGCUAGUAAUCGCAGAACAGCAGGCUGCGGUGAAUACGUUCCC
This 398-nucleotide ribosomal RNA is filed under the name uncultured bacterium. RNAcentral describes it as "bacterial SSU rRNA". It matches the Rfam family "Bacterial small subunit ribosomal RNA", at positions 975 to 1375 of the family's 1533-position model. The record is from RNAcentral.